This 352-nucleotide ribosomal RNA is filed under the name uncultured bacterium. RNAcentral's name for it is "bacterial SSU rRNA". It matches the Rfam family "Bacterial small subunit ribosomal RNA", at positions 28 to 367 of the family's 1533-position model. The record is from RNAcentral.
GACGAACGCUGGCGGCGUGCUUAACACAUGCAAGUGGGAGCGACGAACCAGGCUUCGGCCGUGGGGCAGAGCCGCGAACCGGGUGAGUAACACGUGGGUAACGUGCCCCAAUGACUGGGCAACCCGAGGAAACUCGGGCUAAUACCGGAUAUGCCCCCUCACGAGAGUGAGGUGUGUAAAGGAAGCUUCGGCCUCCGCAUUGGGAGUCGGCCCGGCGGCCGCAUUAGCCUGGUUGGUGGGGAACGGCCUACCAAGGCAACGAUGCGUAGACUGGUCUGAGAGGACGAUCAGCCACACUGGGACUGAGACGACGGCCCAGACUCCUACGGGAGGCAGCAGUGGGGAAUCUUGC